UUGAACUGAAGAGUUUGAUCCUGGCUCAGAUUGAACGCUGGCGGCAUGCCUUACACAUGCAAGUCGAACGGCAGCACGGGCUUCGGCCUGGUGGCGAGUGGCGAACGGGUGAGUAAUACAUCGGAACAUGUCCUGUAGUGGGGGAUAGCCCGGCGAAAGCCGGAUUAAUACCGCAUACGAUCCACGGAUGAAAGCGGGGGACCUUCGGGCCUCGCGCUAUAGGGUUGGCCGAUGGCUGAUUAGCUAGUUGGUGGGGUAAAGGCCUACCAAGGCGACGAUCAGUAGCUGGUCUGAGAGGACGACCAGCCACACUGGGACUGAGACACGGCCCAGACUCCUACGGGAGGCAGCAGUGGGGAAUUUUGGACAAUGGGCGCAAGCCUG
This 384-nucleotide ribosomal RNA is filed under the name Burkholderia ubonensis. Its description in RNAcentral is "bacterial SSU rRNA". It matches the Rfam family "Bacterial small subunit ribosomal RNA", at positions 1 to 385 of the family's 1533-position model. Lineage: Bacteria; Pseudomonadati; Pseudomonadota; Betaproteobacteria; Burkholderiales; Burkholderiaceae. The record is from RNAcentral.